GGGAAGGUGCCAGAGCGGUCGAAUGGGGUCGCCUGCUAAGCGAUUGAGGGCUUAAAAGGUCCUCCGAGGGUUCGAAUCCCUCCCUUCCCGCCA
RNAcentral lists this transfer RNA (93 nucleotides) under Sphaerobacteraceae bacterium. RNAcentral describes it as "tRNA-Ser". It matches the Rfam family "tRNA". From Rfam's summary of the family: Transfer RNA (tRNA) molecules are approximately 80 nucleotides in length. Their secondary structure includes four short double-helical elements and three loops (D, anti-codon, and T loops). The record is from RNAcentral. Lineage: Bacteria; Pseudomonadati; Thermomicrobiota; Thermomicrobia; Sphaerobacterales; Sphaerobacteraceae.